AGAGUUUGAUCCUGGCUCAGGAUGAACGCUGGCGGCGCGCCUAACACAUGCAAGUCGAACGGCACCCCUCUCCGGAGGGAAGCGAGUGGCGAACGGCUGAGUAACACGUGGAGAACCUGCCCCCUCCCCCGGGAUAGCCGCCCGAAAGGACGGGUAAUACCGGAUACCCCGGGGUGCCGCAUGGCACCCCGGCUAAAGCCCCGACGGGAGGGGAUGGCUCCGCGGCCCAUCAGGUAGACGGCGGGGUGACGGCCCACCGUGCCGACAACGGGUAGCCGGGUUGAGAGACCGACCGGCCACAUUGGGACUGAGACACGGCCCAGACUCCUACGGGAGGCAGCAGUGGGGAAUAUUGCACAAUGGGGGAAACCCUGAUGCAGCGACGCCGCGUGGAGGAAGAAGGUCUUCGGAUUGUAAACUCCUGUUGUUGGGGAAGAUAAUGACGGUACCCAACAAGGAAGUGACGGCUAACUACGUGCCAGCAGCCGCGGUAAAACGUAGGUCACAAGCGUUGUCCGGAAUUACUGGGUGUAAAGGGAGCGCAGGCGGGAAGACAAGUUGGAAGUGAAAUCUAUGGGCUCAACCCAUAAACUGCUUUCAAAACUGUUUUUCUUGAGUAGUGCAGAGGUAGGCGGAAUUCCCGGUGUAGCGGUGGAAUGCGUAGAUAUCGGGAGGAACACCAGUGGCGAAGGCGGCCUACUGGGCACCAACUGACGCUGAGGCUCGAAAGUGUGGGUAGCAAACAGAAUUAGAUACCCUGGUAGUCCACACCGUAAACGAUGAUUACUAGGUGUUGGAGGAUUGACCCCUUCAGUGCCGCAGUUAACACAAUAAGUAAUCCACCUGGGGAGUACGACCGCAAGGUUGAAACUCAAAGGAAUUGACGGGGGCCCGCACAAGCAGUGGAGUAUGUGGUUUAAUUCGACGCAACGCGAAGAACCUUACCAAGUCUUGACAUCCCUUGACAGGCAUAGAAAUAUGUUUUCUCUUCGGAGCAAGGAGACAGGUGGUGCAUGGUUGUCGUCAGCUCGUGUCGUGAGAUGUUGGGUUAAGUCCCGCAACGAGCGCAACCCUUAUGGUCAGUUACUACGCAAGAGGACUCUGGCCAGACUGCCGUUGACAAAACGGAGGAAGGUGGGGAUGACGUCAAAUCAUCAUGCCCUUUAUGACUUGGGCUACACACGUACUACAAUGGCGUUAAACAAAGAGAAGCGAGACCGCGAGGUGGAGCAAAACUCAGAAACAACGUCCCAGUUCGGACUGCAGGCUGCAACUCGCCUGCACGAAGUCGGAAUUGCUAGUAAUCGUGGAUCAGCAUGCCACGGUGAAUACGUUCCCGGGCCUUGCACACACAGCCCGUCA
RNAcentral lists this ribosomal RNA (1362 nucleotides) under uncultured bacterium. RNAcentral's name for it is "bacterial SSU rRNA". It matches the Rfam family "Bacterial small subunit ribosomal RNA". The record is from RNAcentral.